RNAcentral lists this ribosomal RNA (1512 nucleotides) under Lactiplantibacillus pentosus. RNAcentral's name for it is "bacterial SSU rRNA". It matches the Rfam family "Bacterial small subunit ribosomal RNA". Lineage: Bacteria; Bacillati; Bacillota; Bacilli; Lactobacillales; Lactobacillaceae. The record is from RNAcentral.
GACGAACGCUGGCGGCGUGCCUAAUACAUGCAAGUCGAACGAACUCUGGUAUUGAUUGGUGCUUGCAUCAUGAUUUACAUUUGAGUGAGUGGCGAACUGGUGAGUAACACGUGGGAAACCUGCCCAGAAGCGGGGGAUAACACCUGGAAACAGAUGCUAAUACCGCAUAACAACUUGGACCGCAUGGUCCGAGUUUGAAAGAUGGCUUCGGCUAUCACUUUUGGAUGGUCCCGCGGCGUAUUAGCUAGAUGGUGAGGUAACGGCUCACCAUGGCAAUGAUACGUAGCCGACCUGAGAGGGUAAUCGGCCACAUUGGGACUGAGACACGGCCCAAACUCCUACGGGAGGCAGCAGUAGGGAAUCUUCCACAAUGGACGAAAGUCUGAUGGAGCAACGCCGCGUGAGUGAAGAAGGGUUUCGGCUCGUAAAACUCUGUUGUUAAAGAAGAACAUAUCUGAGAGUAACUGUUCAGGUAUUGACGGUAUUUAACCAGAAAGCCACGGCUAACUACGUGCCAGCAGCCGCGGUAAUACGUAGGUGGCAAGCGUUGUCCGGAUUUAUUGGGCGUAAAGCGAGCGCAGGCGGUUUUUUAAGUCUGAUGUGAAAGCCUUCGGCUCAACCGAAGAAGUGCAUCGGAAACUGGGAAACUUGAGUGCAGAAGAGGACAGUGGAACUCCAUGUGUAGCGGUGAAAUGCGUAGAUAUAUGGAAGAACACCAGUGGCGAAGGCGGCUGUCUGGUCUGUAACUGACGCUGAGGCUCGAAAGUAUGGGUAGCAAACAGGAUUAGAUACCCUGGUAGUCCAUACCGUAAACGAUGAAUGCUAAGUGUUGGAGGGUUUCCGCCCUUCAGUGCUGCAGCUAACGCAUUAAGCAUUCCGCCUGGGGAGUACGGCCGCAAGGCUGAAACUCAAAGGAAUUGACGGGGGCCCGCACAAGCGGUGGAGCAUGUGGUUUAAUUCGAAGCUACGCGAAGAACCUUACCAGGUCUUGACAUACUAUGCAAAUCUAAGAGAUUAGACGUUCCCUUCGGGGACAUGGAUACAGGUGGUGCAUGGUUGUCGUCAGCUCGUGUCGUGAGAUGUUGGGUUAAGUCCCGCAACGAGCGCAACCCUUAUUAUCAGUUGCCAGCAUUAAGUUGGGCACUCUGGUGAGACUGCCGGUGACAAACCGGAGGAAGGUGGGGAUGACGUCAAAUCAUCAUGCCCCUUAUGACCUGGGCUACACACGUGCUACAAUGGAUGGUACAACGAGUUGCGAACUCGCGAGAGUAAGCUAAUCUCUUAAAGCCAUUCUCAGUUCGGAUCGUAGGCUGCAACUCGCCUACAUGAAGUCGGAAUCGCUAGUAAUCGCGGAUCAGCAUGCCGCGGUGAAUACGUUCCCGGGCCUUGUACACACCGCCCGUCACACCAUGAGAGUUUGUAACACCCAAAGUCGGUGGGGUAACCUUUUAGGAACCAGCCGCCUAAGGUGGGACAGAUGAUUAGGGUGAAGUCGUAACAAGGUAGCCGUAG